CCUACGGGAGGCAGCAGUGGGGAAUAUUGCGCAAUGGGCGAAAGCCUGACGCAGCGACGCAGCGUGAGGGAUGAAGGUCUUCGGAUCGGAAACCUCUGUCAGCAGGGAAGAACGGUCACUGUGCUAAUCAGCAGUGAAUUGACGGUACCUGCAAAGGAAGCACCGGCUAACUCCGUGCCAGCAGCCGCGGUAAUACGGAGGGUGGGAGCGUUAUUCGGAAUUACUGGGAGGAAAGCGCGCGUAGGCGGUAUGUCAAGUCAAGGGUGAAAGUCCCGGGCUCAACGUGGGAACUGCCUUUGAAACUGGCAAACGUGAGUGUGUGAGAGGAUAGUGGAAUUCCAGGUGUAGGAGUGAAAUCCGUAGAUAUCUGGAGGAACAUCAGUGGCGAAGGCGACUAUCUGGCACAUAACUGACGCUGAGGAGCGAAAGCGUGGGUAGCAAACAGGAUUAGAUACCCCAGUAGUC
Molecule: ribosomal RNA, 465 nt
Filed under: uncultured bacterium
Lineage: Bacteria
Description: partial 16S ribosomal RNA
Rfam family: Bacterial small subunit ribosomal RNA
Source: RNAcentral